CGGUCCCGAGAGCCUCCCUUGCUCCGCUCCCCGCCGGAGUCAGCACAAACCCUCCCCGUCCUUUGUACGGCGGGAUCCGAGCGAGCGAGCGAGGAGGAACCUCCCAGCCCGCCUCAUACAAAGCGGGAAGGCAGGUCGGCCUGGCUACUCUGUUAUACUGCUUCAGCGAUCUAAACACUUACCACGGUAGAGGCACUGCUGUAAAGUGAACCAGCAAUUUCCUUCCAGUCCAACUUUAGCCAUAGACAAUGGCCUCCUCCAGGAGAACUGACCCUUCAGGGUAAGUGGCAGCAUUCAAUUCAAAGGAACCACCUAGUGACUUGCUGGACUUAGUCUUUAUAAAUAAUUUAUAAGAUCUACAA
This is a long non-coding RNA of Gavialis gangeticus (Gharial), 362 nucleotides long. RefSeq lists it as uncharacterized. NCBI's taxonomy places the organism in Eukaryota, Metazoa, Chordata, Crocodylia, Gavialidae. The record is from RefSeq and is a predicted model, not a curated record. The transcript has 2 exons.